CUCUUUAUUUCUCCCUGUUCAUCCCC
This 26-nucleotide non-coding RNA is filed under the name Rattus norvegicus (Norway rat). Lineage: Eukaryota; Metazoa; Chordata; Mammalia; Rodentia; Muridae. The record is from RNAcentral.